Molecule: long non-coding RNA, 316 nt
Organism: Cyanistes caeruleus (blue tit)
Lineage: Eukaryota; Metazoa; Chordata; Aves; Passeriformes; Paridae
Source: RefSeq, a predicted model, not a curated record
GCCAGCUCCUGUGGGCACACAGCAACAGCCUCAGCAAACCUGGCACUGCACAGCCAGGCAGUGUUACUAUAGGAAUGGGGCUUUAGCCAAAAUGGUUAACACACCAACAACGGAACUUGAAGAUGUGGCAUCCAUGGGUAUGAAUUAAUUGGUGGAUUCACAAGACAGAUUUAAGUCUUGUGUGGCUGUCCUGAAUGUAUUUGACAGAGAAGACUUCAAGUUAAUUAGUCCUUAGCUGCUUUUUGAAUUUUAAGUAAAAGCAACACACACAUUGUUUUUUAGAAAAACUACAAUUAAAUUACUGCAUUGCAACGUU